AGCGAACGCUGGCGGCAGGCCUAACACAUGCAAGUCGAACGGACCCUUCGGGGUUAGUGGCGGACGGGUGAGUAACACGUGGGAACGUGCCUUUAGGUUCGGAAUAGCUCCUGGAAACGGGUGGUAAUGCCGAAUGUGCCCUUCGGGGGAAAGAUUUAUCGCCUUAGAGCGGCCCGCGUCUGAUUAGCUAGUUGGUGAGGUAACGGCUCACCAAGGCGACGAUCAGUAGCUGGUCUGAGAGGAUGACCAGCCACACUGGGACUGAGACACGGCCCAGACUCCUACGGGAGGCAGCAGUGGGGAAUCUUGCGCAAUGGGCGAAAGCCUGACGCAGCCAUGCCGCGUGAAUGAUGAAGGUCUUAGGAUUGUAAAAUUCUUUCACCGGGGACGAUAAUGACGGUACCCGGAGAAGAAGCCCCGGCUAACUUCGUG
This 432-nucleotide ribosomal RNA is filed under the name uncultured bacterium. RNAcentral's name for it is "bacterial SSU rRNA". It matches the Rfam family "Bacterial small subunit ribosomal RNA", at positions 29 to 507 of the family's 1533-position model. The record is from RNAcentral.